AGUCCGGACAGGUCCUUCGAAGGGACAUCCAACGGUUCGUGCGGAUCGUGGAUCAAAGUGAAAUUUUUAUUUUAACGAGGGUAUAUUCUUUCGUAAGAAAGAAGAUUUCUUCGCGGAAUCUUUAUUGAUUACAUCUUGUUCCACCCUCAGAAGAAUUCAAAGCAGUCGAAAAGAGAAAAUGGAGAUCAAUCCUAACGUUGACAGUGUUCUUGGAUAUCGAACUAAUGUUAAUUUGGAUAGCAUUUAGUUAGAAAGUUAUAUAUACAAUAAUAGUAUUUAUUUCAAUGCCAUGAGUGAGAUUAGGAACGGCGAAGAAAAUAUUAGGGCGAUUAACAAUUAUUCCGAAAAAAAUUUGCAAAUCCAUGUCGAAGAUGAAGAAGAAGAAAAAGGAGAUACAGGGGAUGAAGAAGUCGAAGGGAGCGAUCGAUAAAGUUGAAGCAGAAGACCAUGUUGCAAUACGCAGAUAUACAAAGUCGAUUAUACUAUAUGAUAAUUAAAAAGGGA
This is a long non-coding RNA of Vespula pensylvanica (western yellowjacket), 504 nucleotides long. RefSeq lists it as uncharacterized. The transcript is spliced from 2 exons. Lineage: Eukaryota; Metazoa; Arthropoda; Insecta; Hymenoptera; Vespidae. The record is from RefSeq and is a predicted model, not a curated record.